CCCGCGAGGGGGGAUGAAGGACGCCACCGAGGAAGCAGACCCCACCGGGCUCCCGAGGCUGCCAGGCCCCCCGCUCAGGGCGCUGCCUGCAGAACCACGCCCCCCUGUCCCUGUGCUAAGAGGGUGACGCGAGUGCCCGAAGCCCUGGCCUGGUUACCAUUCGCGACUCCCUCGUCCUGGGUUCUCCCAUUGCCAGGAAUGUUUUACUAGUAACCAUGGUAUAGUUGAGACGAUCCACUCUUGUCCUACGCAUUUCGGCACAAUACAGGCGUCUAGGAGGCUUACCUGGCAUUGCCUGAGAGAAUCUUCCAUCCAUUUAAGUACCCAGUAACAGAGGGAGCAAAGCAAAUCUUAUCCUCAAAGAACUGCAGCUGCUUGUUAGAUCUACCUGGUGGUUCCAUAGAGAAACUGCUCAGAGAACCUGCCUUUACCUCGCCUAAAACAGAACUAUCCCGGAGCUCAGCAAAGGAGUCCAUUCAUCCUCUAUAACUGCUAUACAAUAUCUCUGUUAAAAUGCUGAGAAGAUUUAUCCUAAAAGAAGGCACCAAAGCAAUGGGGGCUGUGCAAAUAAUGAUUGGCCUGAUUCACAGUGCACUGGGAACUCUCUGAAUUCAUUGGAUUUUGCUAAGAGAGGAUUCAAGUGGUUCUGGUCCUAUCCCUAUAAUUGCUGUAGUAAUUUACUCAUUUUUGUCAUUAUUUUUUUUCAUCAACUCAGGAUCCAGUAGUGUAAUACAGAAGCCUGUUACGAGAUAUAAGGCACUUUGCCCUCGGAAAUCUCACUGUCGGAAUCCUUGGAAAUCACACCACGCACAACUUCUAUUUCUUCAUAAUUUGCAAAGAACCAGUGUGACUCCAGUCAAGAACAAAAGAUUAAUUGUGAAUUAGCGAAGAACUCUAAUUUUUUCAAGCAGCCACAUGGAAAACGCAUUCUAAUGAAAUCCUUUCCAUUGCUCUUUUUUCUUAGUUCUUCAAUAAAGCAUGCGAUUUGAUCACAAA
Molecule: long non-coding RNA, 996 nt
Filed under: Homo sapiens (human)
Lineage: Eukaryota; Metazoa; Chordata; Mammalia; Primates; Hominidae
Description: HSALNT0362940
Source: RNAcentral